GAUGAAGAACGCAGCGAAAUGCGAUAAGUAGUGUGAAUUGCAGAAUUCAGUGAAUCAUCGAAUCUUUGAACGCACAUUGCGCCCCUUGGUAUUCCAUGGGGCAUGCCUGUUCGAGCGUCAUUUGUACCCUCAAGCUCUGCUUGGUGUUGGGUGUUUGUCUCGCGUUGCGCGUAGACUCGCCUUAAAGCGAUUGGCAGCCGGCAUAUUGGCCUUGGAGCGCAGCACAUUUUGCGCAUCAAACCAAGAAUGUUGGCGUCCAACAAGCCUAUACAUUUGCUCUUACCUCGGAUCAGGUAGGGAUACCCGCUGAACUUAAGCAUAUCAAUAAGCGGAGGA
Molecule: unclassified non-coding RNA, 336 nt
Filed under: soil metagenome
Description: partial contains 5.8S ribosomal RNA, internal transcribed spacer 2, and large subunit ribosomal RNA
Rfam family: 5.8S ribosomal RNA (bases 1-120)
Source: RNAcentral